CAGCAGCCGCGGUAAUACGUAGGUCCCGAGCGUUGUCCGGAUUUAUUGGGCGUAAAGCGAGCGCAGGCGGUUAGAUAAGUCUGAAGUUAAAGGCUGUGGCUUAACCAUAGUACGCUUUGGAAACUGUUUAACUUGAGUGCAGAAGGGGAGAGUGGAAUUCCAUGUGUAGCGGUGAAAUGCGUAGAUAUAUGGAGGAACACCGGUGGCGAAAGCGGCUCUCUGGUCUGUAACUGACGCUGAGGCUCGAAAGCGUGGGGAGCAAACAGGAUUAGAUACCCGCGUAGUCCCUGUCUCUUAUACA
Molecule: ribosomal RNA, 301 nt
Filed under: uncultured bacterium
Lineage: Bacteria
Description: partial 16S ribosomal RNA
Rfam family: Bacterial small subunit ribosomal RNA
Source: RNAcentral